Molecule: unclassified non-coding RNA, 557 nt
Filed under: Hevea brasiliensis (rubber tree)
Lineage: Eukaryota; Viridiplantae; Streptophyta; Magnoliopsida; Malpighiales; Euphorbiaceae
Source: RNAcentral
UCCCCUUUAAGAGUGAGCACGGAAAUCGGAGAAGUGUAAUCGGAAGGAAGCAUUCAUACCUUUUUCUGGGAAGUAUGGCGAACUGGUCGGAAUUUCCAUUGGAACUACUUGAAAUGAUAGCAAAGCGUGUUACAGUGAUGGAGGAUUUCAUUAGAUUUGGUGUUGUUUGUAAAUCAUGGGGAAGUGCUGCUACCAAAGAAAAUUUUGAUGUUUUAGUGCCACAAGUUCCAUUGCUUAUGCUGGCUGCUAAAGGGGAUGAUGAUUAUCGAGAAUUCUACUCUCUUUCCAAGAGGAAAAUUUCUCGCAGAAUUUUCCUCCCAGAAGCUAGAGGGAAACUCUGUUUACCAACACAGGGAUGGCUUUUCACGGUGAACUAUAGAGCAUUUACAGGAGAGAUGACUUUGUUGCACCCUUUCUCACGCGUCCAAAUUCAGCUUCCUCCGCCUACUGGCUUGAGAGAUGAGGAAUCAAAACGUCCCUACGUGACUAUCAACCAUGUUGUAUUAUCUGCUAGCCCAUCCGUAACAACUGACUAUGUUCUGAUAAUUUGCUAUGGA